CACAGUACGCUGCAUAGUAUCACAGCCAAUGAGGUUUAUCUGAGGCACAAUUAUUGCUAAUUGAAAUCUUUUCACAAUAUCUUGCCAUGAAGACUUGAAAUAUAGUCAUAUAGUCAGUAUUGGCAAUUAUUGACUGUCUCUAUGGAGA
Molecule: small nuclear RNA, 148 nt
Organism: Macaca fascicularis (crab-eating macaque)
Lineage: Eukaryota; Metazoa; Chordata; Mammalia; Primates; Cercopithecidae
Gene: U4
Rfam family: U4 spliceosomal RNA
About the family: U4 small nuclear RNA (U4 snRNA) is a component of the major U2-dependent spliceosome. The structure of U4 snRNA from yeast and human has been reported.
Source: Ensembl